CCUACGGGUGGCAGCAGUGGGGAAUAUUGGGCAAUGGGCGCAAGCCUGACCCAGCAACGCCGCGUGAAGGAAGAAGGCUUUCGGGUUGUAAACUUCUUUUCUGAGGGACGAAGAAAGUGACGGUACCUCAGGUAUAAGCCACGGCUAACUUCGUGCCAGCAGCCGCGGUAAUAAGUAGGUGGCAAGCGUUAUCCGGAUUUAUUGGGGGUAAAGGGCGUGUAGGCGGGAAAGCAAGUCAGAUGUGAAAACUCAGGGCUCAACCCUGAGCCUGCAUUUGAAACUGGUUAUCUUGAGUGCUGGAGAGGCAAUCGGAAUUCCGUGUGAAGCGGUGAAAUGCGUAGAUAGACGGAGGAACACCAGUGGCGAAGGCGGAUUGCUGGACAGUAACUGACGCUGAGGCGCGAAAGCGUGGGGAGCAAACAGGAUUAGAUACCCUUGUAGUC
This 443-nucleotide ribosomal RNA is filed under the name uncultured bacterium. Its description in RNAcentral is "partial 16S ribosomal RNA". It matches the Rfam family "Bacterial small subunit ribosomal RNA", at positions 338 to 795 of the family's 1533-position model. The record is from RNAcentral.